AUUAGAUACCCUGGUAGUCCGCGCUGUAAACGAUGAUGAUUGGCAGAUAGUAGAACUAUCGGCGCAGCUAACGCAUUAAAUCAUCCGCCUGAGUAGUAUGCUCGCAAGAGUGAAACUUAAAGGAAUUGACGGGGAUCCGCACAAGCGGUGGAGCAUGUGGUUUAAUUUGAAGAUACGCGUAGAACCUUACCCACUCUUGACAUCUUCUGCAAAGCUAUAGAGAUAUAGUGGAGGUUAACAGAGUGACAGAUGGUGCAC
RNAcentral lists this ribosomal RNA (258 nucleotides) under Mycoplasmopsis cynos. RNAcentral's name for it is "partial 16S ribosomal RNA". It matches the Rfam family "Bacterial small subunit ribosomal RNA", at positions 777 to 1046 of the family's 1533-position model. The record is from RNAcentral. Lineage: Bacteria; Bacillati; Mycoplasmatota; Mycoplasmoidales; Metamycoplasmataceae.